Molecule: long non-coding RNA, 2827 nt
Filed under: Lytechinus variegatus (green sea urchin)
Lineage: Eukaryota; Metazoa; Echinodermata; Echinoidea; Temnopleuroida; Toxopneustidae
Description: uncharacterized LOC121417455
Source: RNAcentral
UGUAAAAAAUUCAUGGAAUUCACCCUUGCAAAAGGGGAUUCAGGUUUUUGCUGCGUACAUUUUCAGUGACAAAACAGAAUUUCCAUUUUAAGAUCAAGUUGAAACGGAAUUUAACGGAAAAUACCAGUUUUUGAAACGGAAAAUUACUGUCUGUAGAUGUCUUUUUAAUGUGGAGUAGAUCCGCAUCAACUGUUGUAUUUCACAAUGAAGAUCAAUUCAGAUGUGACUAAAUUUUAAUGAGUCAAUGUGAGGUAAGCCUCCUACCAUAGUAAUUCAUGUUUGAUCGUGAAAUCUUUUCUGUAUUUCUUGUAGAUUUGGCUAGUUUACAUGAGACACAGUUUUUUUUAUUCUGGAAUGUCACAAAAAAUGGACCCAACCCGAUGGAAUAACCCAUGUACAUUACAUUCCAAGGCUCUGGUAUAUUACAAGAUGAAAUUGACAUGCACCCUACAUGCAUUUCUUGUAAAUUUCAGAGUUACAUGAACUGGCAUUCCUUUAAAACAGAUCUACAUGUAUUCCAUUCUUUUAUUCCCAGCUGAUUACACACAGAUAUACAACCAAAAUGUAAGUUAUACUACUGUGUAAUCUUCGGGUUACUACUGACCAGUGUGAUUUAAUGCCUGCAUGUUCCUUAUCGUGUGAACGUGCCUCUGAUUUUGUUAAUUGAGAUUAUUUUACAUUGGUAAAGGCUCUGUCAUAUUGUUCCUGCAGCAAAGAUAUUCAUGAGCAUGUUCAAAACUUUUCUGUGUGCAAAUUUUAUACUUGUGCGCUUCUGCGGGCAACUGCGUGUGACAUACGUGCGAGAUACUGUCAAUGCAGGCUAUCUGUGAGUAGCAGAAAUAGUCACCCUUCGGUCACAUGCAAGGCCUUCAUGGAAUAAUGUGACAGUGCCUUAACAUUAGACUGUACAACUUUAACAUUACAACCAUAACAUUAGACUGUUCACUUCUGGCGACUAUUUGUAUGUUGUAAUAUGUAAGCUGGGCGGCCACAUUUAUUUAUUGACAUUCCUCUUUGUUACAUAAUUAUAUGGUUGUGUUCAAAACGGUUUGCUGUUCUUCUAUGCCCCUUUUGAGUUAUAUAGCUGAAGUUAUGAUCAAUUGCACUUUGAGAUUGAUUUGAAUCUAUCGCAACUCUUUAAGACAGGAACCCUAAGUCCUUGACCUUGCCUUGGCCAGUCAUGCCUUGGAUUUAUGGUCCAAUAGGAGUCAAUUGAUUGGGAAGUUAAAUUUUAUCAAAGGAUUGAUUUUUAUAUUCCUUUUUUAAUCCCUAAAGAUCCAUAACGUGACUGGGCUGAUGAAACCUUUUAUCUCAAAAUUUAAAUAUUAUGAUGACAGCUAAGCAUAAGUUAGAUUUUAGAGGUAUAACAUGGGUAGCAACCUUUUGCCUCAAAGAAUUCUUCACAGGUAUCAGGAAACUGUUUCACAGACAGUGUGAGACUGCCACCGUUGUUAUAUUUAUUUAAAAAAAAAACAGCCAUUCCAAAGCUGCCAUAAUUUUUUUAGAUUUUGAAGUACAAGGUUUUGUCAGCACAGCCAUGAUAAUUUCAGUAUAAAAUCCAUACAAAAGACUUACCCCCCAUUUAAAGGGUGAGAACAUUUACAUUUGUUACCAAUAGCUACAUGUGCAUGUGUAGUCUAAGGCACAAGUCAGUAAUUUUUAGUGCAAUAAACCCAUCUCUACUAGUUGUUUUUUUUAAUAGACCCACUCUUGCCACAAAGGACUUCAUGACCUUUCUUAAAAAACUAAAGGUUUACAGAUAUAAGUAUUGCUUCAGAGCAGAUUAUACAUGAAAUAUACAACAGAAAAUGUGACCUUUGACCUUUACAAGUGUACAGAUAUAAUAAGUUUCCUUGUAAUGAUCAUUUAAUUCUCAGCAGUGUUUAGAAGCUUUGCAAAUUCAGCUCCGAAACAACAAAUUUUAAUGUUUUUUAAAUGUUGGUAAAUAUUUGAGUCUCAUGUGGCAUGAAUUAUAUGUAUAUUUGCACAAGAAUAAUACAUGAAUUACUUUAUUGAAGUAAGCUUUAAUAUCACGUGAAGAAGUAUUAGGUAGGUAUGUUUUUAUGUGAUCACCUAGACCAACAUUCUUGACUCGUCACCAGCUUAGGUGGUGAUAAUUUGUGGCUUUGGGGAAGUUAUCAAACUUACAUAUUUUUAAGUGUAAAUUUUUCCUUGACCUUCUUUCAAAAUAAUUUUCCUACUGUAACUCAUGGACCUCAGCUAAUCCCAAGAUGCCAGAGUUUCUUUUCAACUCUGUAAAAGAUACAUAUUGAUGGAUUGCUUAGGCUCGUAUUCUGAAGUCGAUUUAAUAGACGACUAUCCUUCCCAGACAGUUGAGGACGAUUUGAGAGUCAAAUGAGCUGAUACAUUCAAUCUCUACUGUUAGAGAUUUAUGUUGCAACUGGCUAUCCAUAGUUAAUUCACAACUUUAGACCAAAGGUAAAGUUCAAUCCGAUUCUGAAUACUGGCAUUUAUAGAGUUUCAUUCCCCUUUAAUGUGCACAUGUCAUGCCAAAAUAGAACUAAAAAUUUAAAUACCCUUCGAGUUCUUAUUUGAAUUUGUCCCUGAAAUUUUCAUGGAUAUGUAGAUAUGCCUCCCAGAUUGGGGUUCAAAAUGCACACUGUUGCUCUAGAAUUCUUCAGUAAGACAUUAAUCUACGAUUGCCCGUCCUCCACCCGGGUGGAGCAUUCAUGGUAGGCUUACAAAUCUAGAAGAAACUCCUUUCAAUGUUAGUUAAUGUUUGUUGUAUACUUUAUGUAGUACAUGUAUUUAUGUAUCAUCAUGGUGACUUUGCAAUUCUUGUCAUUAAAUUUUAAGAAACACUAAA